Molecule: ribosomal RNA, 460 nt
Filed under: uncultured bacterium
Lineage: Bacteria
Description: partial 16S ribosomal RNA
Rfam family: Bacterial small subunit ribosomal RNA
Source: RNAcentral
CCUACGUGAGGCAGCAGUGAGGAAUAUUGGUCAAUGGACGAGAGUCUGAACCAGCCAAGUAGCGUGAAGGAUGACUGCCCUAUGGGUUGUAAACUUCUUUUAUCAAGGAGUAAAACGAGGCACGUGUGCCUUUUUGCAUGUUCUUUAUGAAUAAGGCUUGGCUUACUUCGUUCCAGCAGCCGUGGGAAUACGUAGGGGGCAAGCUUUGUUCGGAAUAACUGGGGGUAAAGGAUGCGUUGGCGGGUAAGCUAAGUAAAUGGUAAAUAUAUAGGCUUAAACUGUAGAAAGCAUAUAAAACUGUUUAACUAGAGUGCAGGAGAGGUAAGUGGAAUUCGUGGGGUAGCGGUGAAAUGCGUAGAGAUUAGGAAGAACACCAGUGGCGAAGGCGACUUACUGUACUGGAACUGACGCUGAGGCAUGAGAGCAUGGGGAGCGAACAGGAUUAGAUACCCGGGUAGUC